AUUGAACGCUGGCGGCAUGCUUUACACAUGCAAGUCGAACGGCAGCGCGGGCUUCGGCCUGGCGGCGAGUGGCGAACGGGUGAGUAAUACAUCGGAACGUGCCCAGUAGUGGGGGAUAGCUCGGCGAAAGCCGGAUUAAUACCGCAUACGACCAGAGGGUGAAAGCGGGGGAUCUUCGGACCUCGCGCUCUUGGAGCGGCCGAUGGCCGGUUAGCUAGUUGGUGGGGUAAAGGCCUACCAAGGCGACGAUCCGUAGCUGGUCUGAGAGGACGACCAGCCACACUGGGACUGAGACACGGCCCAGACUCCUACGGGAGGCAGCAGUGGGGAAUUUUGGACAAUGGGCGAAAGCCUGAUCCAGCAAUGCCGCGUGUGUGAAGAAGGCCUUCGGGUUGUAAAGCACUUUUGGCGGGAACGAAAAGGACUGUGCCAAUACCACGGUUCGAUGACGGUACCCGAAGAAUAAGCACCGGCUAACUACGUG
RNAcentral lists this ribosomal RNA (484 nucleotides) under uncultured bacterium. RNAcentral's name for it is "partial 16S ribosomal RNA". It matches the Rfam family "Bacterial small subunit ribosomal RNA", at positions 29 to 507 of the family's 1533-position model. The record is from RNAcentral.